Monopterus albus (swamp eel) is the source of this 255-nucleotide long non-coding RNA. RefSeq lists it as uncharacterized. The record is from RefSeq and is a predicted model, not a curated record. The transcript is spliced from 3 exons. NCBI's taxonomy places the organism in Eukaryota, Metazoa, Chordata, Actinopteri, Synbranchiformes, Synbranchidae.
UGUGGCAAGCUCUAUUUAAAGGUUUGAGUUCAGGCUUUCAACACCAAUCCCUCUGUUCCUCCUUCUCGACUUUGAACACAAAACUUCAAACUUUUGCCAUCAUGUCACAACUCAUGAGUGCAGUGUGCACGAUGAAAAAGGUUUUUGACCAAUACGCGGGAAAAGAUGGAGACCCUACUACUUUGUCCAAAAAAGAACUCGGUGAUUUGCUCCGCGCUGAGCUUGGUUUUGAAGAGAGUUCUGGAGGUAGUGAAG